RNAcentral lists this ribosomal RNA (600 nucleotides) under Bipolaris setariae. RNAcentral's name for it is "eukaryotic LSU rRNA". The stretch from base 212 to 365 matches the Rfam family "5.8S ribosomal RNA". The record is from RNAcentral. Lineage: Eukaryota; Fungi; Ascomycota; Dothideomycetes; Pleosporales; Pleosporaceae.
UAUUCAGNCUCGUAGGUGACCUGCGGAGGGUCAUUACACAACGAAAAUAUGAAGGCUUUGGCUUCGCGGCCGGCUGAAAUAUUUUUUUCACCCAUGUCUUUUGCGCACUUGUUGUUUCCUGGGCGGGUUCGCCCGCCACCAGGACCAAACCAUAAACCUUUUUUUUAAUGCAGUUGCAAUCAGCGUCAGUAAAAAACAAUGUAAUUAUUACAACUUUCAACAACGGAUCUCUUGGUUCUGGCAUCGAUGAAGAACGCAGCGAAAUGCGAUACGUAGUGUGAAUUGCAGAAUUCAGUGAAUCAUCGAAUCUUUGAACGCACAUUGCGCCCUUUGGUAUUCCAAAGGGCAUGCCUGUUCGAGCGUCAUUUGUACCUUCAAGCUUUGCUUGGUGUUGGGCGUUUUUUGUCUCCCUCUUGCUGGGAGACUCGCCUUAAAACGAUUGGCAGCCGGCCUACUGGUUUCGGAGCGCAGCACAUAUUUUGCACUCUGUGUCAGGAGAAAAGGACGGUAAUCCAUCAAGACUCUACAAAUUUUAACUUUUGACCUCGGAUCAGGUAGGGAUACCCGCUGAACUUAAGCAUACAUAANNGGGGGAGGAAA